This 429-nucleotide ribosomal RNA is filed under the name Actinomycetes bacterium. RNAcentral's name for it is "Actinobacteria bacterium partial 16S ribosomal RNA". It matches the Rfam family "Bacterial small subunit ribosomal RNA", at positions 355 to 776 of the family's 1533-position model. Lineage: Bacteria; Bacillati; Actinomycetota; Actinomycetes. The record is from RNAcentral.
UAGGGAAUCUUCCGCAAUGGGCGAAAGCCUGACGGAGCAACGCCUCGUGAGUGAUGAAGUUCUUCGGAUCGUAAAACUCUGUUAUUAGGGAAGAACAAAUGUGUAAGUAACUAUGCACGUCUUGACGGUACCUAAUCAGAAAGCCACGGCUAACUACGUGCCAGCAGCCGCGGUAAUACGUAGGUGGCAAGCGUUAUCCGGCAUUAUUGGGCGUAAAGCGCGCGUAGGCGGUUUUUUAAGUCUGAUGUGAAAGCCCACGGCUCAACCGUUGAGGGUCAUUGGCAGCUGGAAAACUUGAGUGCAGAAGAGGAAAGUGGAAUUCCAUGUGUAGCGGUGAAAUGCGCAGAGAUAUGGAGGAACACCAGUGGCGAAGGCGACUUUCUGGUCUGUAACUGACGCUGAUGUGCGAAAGCGUGGGGAUCAAACAGG